RNAcentral lists this ribosomal RNA (704 nucleotides) under uncultured bacterium. Its description in RNAcentral is "bacterial SSU rRNA". It matches the Rfam family "Bacterial small subunit ribosomal RNA", at positions 76 to 796 of the family's 1533-position model. The record is from RNAcentral.
GUUUUCGGAUGUAACUUAGUGGCGAACGGGUGAGUAACGCGUGAGGAACCUGCCUUUCAGUGGGGGACAACAGUUGGAAACGACUGCUAAUACCGCAUGACACUGUAGUAUCGCAUGAUACAUCAGUCAAAGAUUUAUUGCUGAAAGAUGGCCUCGCGUCUGAUUAGCUAGUUGGUGGGGUAACGGCCCACCAAGGCGACGAUCAGUAGCCGGACUGAGAGGUUGACCGGCCACAUUGGGACUGAGAUACGGCCCAGACUCCUACGGGAGGCAGCAGUGGGGAAUAUUGGGCAAUGGGCGAAAGCCUGACCCAGCAACGCCGCGUGAAGGAAGAAGGCCUUCGGGUUGUAAACUUCUUUUACCAGGGACGAACACAAUGACGGUACCUGGAGAAAAAGCAACGGCUAACUACGUGCCAGCAGCCGCGGUAAUACGUAGGUUGCAAGCGUUGUCCGGAAUUACUGGGUGUAAAGGGCGUGUAGGCGGAGAUGCAAGUCGGGGGUGAAAUCCAUGGGCUCAACCCAUGAACUGCUCUCGAAACUGUAUCCCUUGAGUAUCGGAGAGGCAAGCGGAAUUCCUAGUGUAGCGGUGAAAUGCGUAGAUAUUAGGAGGAACACCAGUGGCGAAGGCGGCUUGCUGGACGACAACUGACGCUGAGGCGCGAAAGCGUGGGGAGCAAACAGGAUUAGAUACCCUGGUAGUCC